GCAGCAAAGAGCUCGGGGGUGCCCCUCCCAGGACCGGGCCUAAGUUUCCCGUGCUGUUGUCGCUCACCCUUGGAGCCCGCAGUCGCACCGCAGGCAGCGGGCGCGGCUUCCCUGCAGGCCGCGGAUCGGCCCAGGACAACGCACCGCCCCACCCCGCCCGUCCAGGCCUGGUCGCCUCGAGGCCCACCCUUCCUUACCCAGGAGCAGAGCGGAGCUUCCCACUGGCCGGCCGCCGCCAGGGGCAGCCGCAGGAAACCGUAGCGUCUAGAGCGGGCGAAAGGACAGCAGCGGUCACCUCCGGCUCCGCCCCGCCUCUGCAGCAGGAUCAAGGCGCAUGCCCACCAGGGAGGCGGUGCGGAGAGGCAGGCCUCAGAGUGCCACGUGACUCCUUAAAGCGCUGGUGCCCGCCUCGUCACCACUAGCCUUCUGAGCCGCGAGGCCAGCCGCCGUCCUCGGGCCCGUCAGGGAGGGGCCUCGCAAACCCCUCGCUCUGUCCCUCCCACUGCCCUGCCCGAGCGCCGUCGCCAUGGACACGGCGCGAGGUAAGGAGGCCUUACACAAGAGGUCUCGACCAAGGAGAGGAGAGCUGCGCGCUUCCUAGCUAGGAGGAGCUAACGCGGGGCAUGCCGGGUCGGGGUCCUUUGAGGACAGUUUUUCCGCCUAGCAACAGCACCUACCACUACUCCCCCAACCCCCCCAGGCCUCGUAGGACCGCAGGAGAGAUGCUGAGCGCUGGCAUUCAGGGAUGCCUGAGGAUCUGCGGCCCUGCGAGGGAUGAGCGCCCCGUCCCAUCACGAAGAGGCGGGACUUCUCUGGUUCCCUGCCCCCUCCCGCGGACUUUGGGGUAAUGCAGAAGAGCAUGAAGAGAGAAGAGACCAGUCCCAUCCAAAUAGCAGGGGAGAAGAAGGCUGCACAGUCGCUGGCACCAGAAAAGCUGCCACCAGACAAGUUGAAGGCCUGGAUCUGGAAAUCCUGGAGAGUUACGCUCCAGGGGGAGCGAAAAUCAUGAGGCAUCAGAAGGCCCCAUUUGGUGGGGUCACUGCUUACGUACUGGCAGUGAUAGGAGUAGGUGCUGGGUGCGAUGACCUGCACAGAACUGAAGAAGGCAGUUGAGUUGUGGGUCUUGAUCUCGAGCCCCUCCAUGGUGAACCAGCUGCGGUGCGACCCUGGGUAGAAGUGAUUGAUCAUACUGAACCUCAGCCUCAAGAAGGGACCAAAGAGGUUGUUGUAGGUCAUUACAAGCUGGGCAGUGGAGUCGUUCCAGCUGGAGCCCGUCAGAUUGAGCUCCGGGGCUCCGAAGGUGAGGGACGUGAGGUCUUGUGUCUGGCUGUCAUAGCUCACUGAGAAGUGCCUGGCCCAGAACAGUAUUCGAGGCUCCGUGUCACUGUAGCUCACCGGUGGCAGGGCCGGUGGCCAGGCUGGCUGGGCUUUAUACUCUUGCCCCAGGCCCCUAGACACAAGCGACAAAUCUCUGGCUGCUCUGGAAGGCCGAAGAGCGGUGAGCAAGGCUGUGUAGGGCUUUCCUUCUGCCUGGAGCCUGCUCAGCACCUGCCCAAGGAUCUUAUCUUGGCCAGCAAGGGUUUCCUUGUGAGCCCCCAAGUCACUGCUGGCCGCUGAGGGUAUGUACACUAGCAGCAGUAGAGGGUGGGUGGUGUUCAGCGUCAGCUCUCUCAGGGAUGCCUGGUCCACAUGAAGAGGGCCUGUACCCAACUUCUGGGUCAGGUAAGACGUUAGGGUGGCAGCUGCAGACCAGCCCACUGCUGGCAGCACCAAGGAGGAGGGGGCCCUUUCCAAGACCUCCUGCAGGUUAGGGAAGGGACUCUCGGGCUUGUCGCCAAGCACCUCACCGAAAGCAGUGAAAUCCUCCAGCCUCAGCUUUUCCUGCAGGAUCAGCAGUACAGUCUGGGGUCCCUUCUCCAAAAUGGGGUCCAGGCAGGUGUAAAGUUCAGGACGGGUGUAGAUGUGACCUUCAUAAGGGUUUUCCACGGAGGCCCGCAAACCCGGGGAACUGGACCACAGCAACAAGGGUACCUGAGGAUCCGAGGCUUCCGACCGCGCUGCCAGAAGCAGCAACUGCAGCAGCAGCAGCCCCCGGAGGAACCCGAUCCGCCGA
Long non-coding RNA from Vombatus ursinus (common wombat), 2113 nucleotides. The record is from Ensembl. Lineage: Eukaryota; Metazoa; Chordata; Mammalia; Diprotodontia; Vombatidae.